UUACCUUUGAACGUGAAACCUUUGAUUUUUUAUUUUAUUUUAUUUUAUUUUUUUGCAUAAGUUGUUAUUGAUAUGAUGUUAUAUUUCUACUUUACUUUUUUGAUUGAUAUUAUGCAUUAUUGUUGUGGAAUGAGUAUUACCAUAAUCGCUGCAUUUUAACGCUCUCUUGCGAUUGUUUGAGUUGUAUUUGUUGAUUUUGUUUCUUAUCAGCCUGUGUUGCGUGUUGCAUAUUGACGUUCAAGAUAAUCGCGUCGUAUUGUGCUUUAUCUUGUAUGCUUUUCAAUUUAGAUGGCUAUGACCAUUAUUCUUAAGAAAGAUAACAAAGUUAUAUGCUCCACGAAGUGCCUAGACCCGCCGAUUAGGCUGCCAAAAGAUUUGAGCAUCGCUUCUGUAGUUUCAACAGAGAAGGUAUCUAGUCUUUCUAGAUUGCCACGAUUUUCACUAACUCCGGCACCAGAUAAUUCACAGGAAAAGGGUGAAUGGGGUAGAUUUUUGGAUUUCCUGCACGAAUAUAAUAGGGUAUGAUGCUUUUUAUUUUCAUCCCUAAAAAAUCCUUUUUAUUUACUCAGCCCGUGUUUUUGUUUCUGAUCUAUAGCAAAUUUAUGCUUGUGAUGAAUUUGUGUAAUUAUGUUGGUUGCUAAAUUGCUAUGAUUCUAAGCAUGUUUUGGAGGAAAUAUUAAUUUCUUUAAAUUUAAUUGUAACUCAAUUAUAUAU
Cajanus cajan (pigeon pea) is the source of this 714-nucleotide non-coding RNA. The record is from RefSeq and is a predicted model, not a curated record. NCBI's taxonomy places the organism in Eukaryota, Viridiplantae, Streptophyta, Magnoliopsida, Fabales, Fabaceae.